This 2688-nucleotide ribosomal RNA is filed under the name Blastocystis sp. subtype 8. RNAcentral's name for it is "LSU rRNA". It matches the Rfam family "Bacterial large subunit ribosomal RNA". Lineage: Eukaryota; Bigyra; Opalinata; Blastocystidae. The record is from RNAcentral.
AUAAAUAUAUCGAAAAGCAUUAGAUGGAUACCUAGAUAUUUAUUAUAAUAUUUUAUGGACGUUAUUGAUCGAAAAUAUUUAAUGAAUUUAUAUUAUGAUUUAAAUAUUUCCAUUGAGAAAACUUUUUUUGAAUGAAAUUUAUAUCAUUAGUGAAUUGAAACAUCUAAGUAACUAAGUGAAAGAAAUCAAACGAAAUUCUGUUAGUAGUGGCGAGCGAAUAUGGAAAAUAGGCUAAUUUUUAACUAUUAUUAUAAUUUUAUAAAUACAUAGAUGGUCAAAAUUCCAGUGUAAAAUUAAAUAAGGUUUAAAUUUGAGUAAAACGAAAUAGGUGAAAUUUUGUUUGAAGAAAAGGGAACCAUCCUUUAAGCCUAAAAUAAAUAAAUAAUCAAUAGUGAACAAGUACUGUGAAGGAAAGGUGAAAAAGAAUUUACGAAAUUGAAAUAGAUCUUGAAAUCUAAUGCUUUGAACAAUUGGAGCUUAAAAUAAUAAGUGACAAUAUACCUUUUGUAUAAUGGACCAGUAAGUUUAUUUAUAUAGCAAGUUUAAAUUGAAAAAUGUAGACAAAGUGAAAGCGAAUUUGAAAUGAAAAAGAAUUAAUAGUUAUAUAAAUAAGACCCGAAACCAAGUGAUCUAAUUAUGAACAAGUUGAAAAAAUAUUAAAUUAUUUUUGAGGACUGAACCCGUAUCUGUUGCAUAAGAUUGGGAUGAUUUGUGAUUAGGGGUGAAAGGCUAAUCAAACUUGGAGAUAGCUGGUUUUCUGUGAAAUCUAUUUACGUAAAGUGUUAAAAUUAUUUUUUUGGGGUAGAGAUAUCGAUAAAAGCAGGUUGCCCAUAAAGCUUUACUAAUUUUAAGGAAACUUCGAAUACGAAAAAAUAUUUUAAUAAACGGACUUAUAAUGCUAAGGUUAUAGGUCGAGAGGGAAACAGCCCAGAUUGUUUAUUAAGGUCUUUAAAUUUUUUUGAUUUCUCAUAAAAAAGGAAGAUUUAAAUUUUGAUAACUAAGAGUUAGGUUCAGAAGCAGCCAUUCUUUAAAGAAAGCGUAAAAGCUCAUUAGUUUAAUUUAAGUUUUCUAACGAUGUAUAGAGAUUGGAAGAGAAGUACCGAUAUAGCAAAUUCAAUAAAUUUAUAAUUAAUUGGAUGGUAACAGAACGUUCUGUAAGCAUAAGAAUAAAUUGAAAAAUUUAUUUUUGUAUCAGAAGUGAUAAUACUGGUAUGAGUAAUAUAAAUAAUAUAAAAUAGGUAAUUAAAUAUUAUCGUCGAAAAUUUAAGGUUUUUAAUUUAUAUUUGUUAAACAAAAUUAAGUUAUACGGUUUCUAAAUUUUGAAUAUGUUAAAGUGAAAACUUCGGAUGAUGAAAAUUAUUUUUAAUAAAACUUAUUUUAUUAAGAAUCUACAAAUUAAUAAAAUAAUUUAAAAAGUUUAAAAAUAAAAACCGUACUAAAACCGACACAGGUGAAUAGGUAGAAUAUACUAAGACGAUAAAAGUGAAUCAUAGUGAAGGAACUCGGCAAAUUAACCUUGUAACUUCGGAAGAAAAGGUUUUUAUUAAUUGUAGAAAUUAAGUUUAAUAAAAAAAUAUGAAAGGGGGUAGCGACUGUUUAAUAAAAACACAGGACUUUGCUAAAUUGUAAAAUGAUGUAUAAGGUCUGACACCUGCCAGGAACUGUGUAGUUAAAAUUGAAAACAAUAUAUUUUUAAUAUAAGCAGCAGUAAUCGGCGGCCAUAACUCUGAUGGUCCUAAGGUAGCGAAAUUCCUUGUCAACUAAUUAUUGACGUGCAUGAAUGGUGUAACGACUUCCCCACUGUCUCCACUAUGAGCUUUGUGAAAUUGAAAUAUUUGUGAAGAUGCAAAUUAUAUAUGGUUAGACGGUAAGACCCCGUGCACCUUUACUACAAUUUUUAAGUGAUUAUUUUUAUAAAAUUGUGUAGCAUAAGUGGGAAUUUAAAUUAAAUUUUAAAUAUUACUGAAAUACCACUCGUUUUAUUAUUAAUAGCUAAUUUUAGAAAUAAAAAAUUUAAAAGACAAUUUAAAGAUUGGUAGUUUAACUGGGGUGGUUUUCUCCAAAAAAGUAACGGAGAAAUAUAAAGGUAAAUUAAUAAUUAUUGUUGUAAUAAUUAUUUAUGUGUAAUGGCUUAAAUUUGCUUGACUGUAAGAUUGACAAAUCAAACAGAAACGUAAGUUGAUCAUAGUGACCCGGUAAUUCUUUAUGGAAAGGUUAUCGAUCAAUGGAUAAAAGGUACGCCGGGGAUAACAGGCUUAUAAUUCUCUAGAGUUCAUAUCGACGGAAUUGUUUGGCACCUCGAUGUCGGCUCAUCACAUCCUAGAGCUGAAGAAGGUUCUAAGGGUUUGGCUGUUCGCCAAUUAAAGUGGUACGUGAGCUGGGUUUAAAACGUCGUGAGACAGUUUUGUCCCUAUCUGCCAUAUAAAAACGAAAAAAUGAAAUAAAUAAUUCUAGUACGAGAGGACCGAAUUAGAUUGAUCAAUGGUAUAUAAGUUAUUUCUUAAUUUUAAUAAAAGAAGUAUUGUUUAGUAGCUAAAUCAAUAAAAGAUAAAUACUGAAUAAAUAUAAGUAUGAAGCUUUGUUUUCAAAUUUUCGAUAAAAAAGUAAGAGAAAAUUACUUAAAUAGGCUUAAUGUAUGUAAAUGUAAAAUAGCUAAUAAGUACUAAUUUUUUGGUUAAUUUAUAAAAA